Molecule: ribosomal RNA, 3318 nt
Filed under: Triticum aestivum (bread wheat)
Lineage: Eukaryota; Viridiplantae; Streptophyta; Magnoliopsida; Poales; Poaceae
Description: partial small subunit ribosomal RNA
Source: RNAcentral
AUGGACCCUGGGACGGCAUCCGCGUCCUGGGGUUUGCAACUAGGUGUGGUGCUGGUCUUUCUGCUGGCCUCUGGCUGCCAGGGGCUCAACCAUGAGGGCUGGCUUCUCCUGGCGCUCAAGAGCCAGAUGAUUGACACUUACCACCACCUUGACAACUGGAACCCCAAGGAUCCAUCGCCGUGCACGUGGAGUGGUGUCAACUGCUCCUCCUCGUCGUCGUCGAGGCUAGCAGUGGUGUCUCUCAACGUCAGCAACAUGAACCUGUCGGGCACCGUCGGCCCGGGCAUCGGCGGUCUUACCGAGCUGACUAGCCUCGAUUUGUCCUUCAACGAGUUCUCUGGUACUAUCCCUGCUGAGAUUGGGAAUUGCUCAAAACUGGUGUUGCUCAACUUGAAUAACAACAAUUUUGACGGUACAAUCCACCCUGAGCUCGGGAAGCUGGACCUGCUGAUCGGAUGCAAUCUGUGCAAUAACAGGCUCCAUGGUCCAAUACCUGAUGAGAUUGGUAACAUGUCAUCGCUUCAGGACUUGGUGGGGUACAGUAACAAUCUCUCCGGUUCUAUACCGCAUUCUGUCGGCAAGCUCAAGCACCUCAAGACUAUCCGGCUGGGACAGAAUCUUAUAUCUGGCAGCAUUCCUGCCGAGAUAGGUGAAUGCCGUAACCUGACCGUGUUUGGUCUUGCGCAGAACAAGUUGGAAGGGCCUUUGCCAAAAGAGAUUGGGAGGUUGGGUCUCAUGACAGACCUAAUCCUGUGGGGAAAUCAGCUUUCUGGCCCCAUUCCUCCAGAGAUUGGGAAUUGUACAAAUCUCAGGACAAUUGCCCUUUAUGAUAAUGAUCUGGUUGGUCCUAUACCUGCAACAAUUGGGAACAUUACUUAUCUUGAGAAGCUAUAUCUUUACAGGAAUUCAAUAAAUGGUACCAUUCCGUCUGAAAUUGGGAAGCUUUCUUUCGCAGAAGAGGUUGAUUUUUCAGAGAAUUUCUUAACGGGAGGGAUACCAAAGGAGUUAGGCAACAUACCAGGGUUGUAUCUACUCUACCUCUUCCAGAAUCAGCUUACUGGCUUUAUUCCUAGUGAGUUGUGUGGAUUGAGGAACUUGAGCAAGCUUGAUCUUUCCAUCAAUUCACUCACUGGCCCAAUUCCAGCCGGAUUUCAGUACAUGACCAAGUUAAUCCAGUUGCAACUCUUCAACAAUAUGCUAUCAGGGGACAUACCUCCAAGGUUUGGCAUUUACAGUCGACUGUGGGUGGUGGAUUUCUCAAACAACAACAUUACAGGGCAGAUACCUCGAGAUCUUUGUAGGCAGUCAAACCUUAUUUUGUUGAAUCUGGGGUCUAACAAGUUGACUGGAAACAUACCUCACAGAAUCACCAGCUGUAAAUCCUUGGUGCAGCUUCGUCUCAGUGACAACAGUCUGACAGGAAGCUUCUCCACUGAUCUCUGCAAUCUGGUGAAUUUGACAACAAUUGAGCUGGCUCGGAACAAGUUCAAUGGCCCUAUUCCUCCUCAGAUAGGGAAUUGCAACGCUCUGCAGAGGCUUAACCUUGCAAAUAAUUAUUUCACAUCUGAGUUGCCCCGAGAAAUAGGGAAAUUGUCAAAGCUUGUUGUCUUCAAUAUCUCAUCUAACAGGCUAGGAGGAAGCAUACCACUGGAGAUCUUCAAUUGUACAACAUUGCAACGUCUUGAUCUCAGCCAGAAUAGCUUUGAAGGUUCAUUGCCAAAUGAAGUUGGUAGACUGCCUCAACUGGAGCUUCUCUCGUUCGCUGAUAAUAGGCUGUCUGGGCAGAUGCCACCUAUUCUUGGUAAACUUUCACAUUUGACAGCACUGCAGAUUGGUGGCAAUCAAUUCUCCGGUGGAAUACCAAAGGAGCUGGGCCUGCUGUCAAGCUUGCAGAUUGCCAUGAAUUUGAGCUAUAAUAAUCUCUCUGGGAAUAUACCAUCAGAGCUUGGCAGUCUUGCAUUAUUGGAAAGUUUGUUUCUCAAUAAUAACAACCUGACAGGUGAAAUCCCAGAUACAUUUGUAAACCUGUCAAGUUUGCUUCAGCUCAAUGUCUCGUACAAUAAUCUCACCGGUACUCUUCCCCCGGUGCCGCUUUUUGACAAUAUGGUUGUGACCAGCUUUAUUGGAAACAGAGGACUCUGUGGUGGACAACUUGGCAAGUGUGGAUCUGAGUCACCCUCCUCUUCCCAGUCAUCCGACUCGGUUAGUCGCCCUAUGGGCAAGAUUAUAGCAAUUAUUGCCGCCAUUAUUGGAGGAGUAUCACUUAUUCUUAUUGCCAUACUUUUGCACCAUAUGAGGAAACCAUUAGAAACAGUAGCCCCUUUGCAAGACAAGCAAAUUCUAUCUGCUGGGUCUAACAUUCCUGUUUCUGCGAAGGAUGCGUAUACAUUUCAGGAACUGGUCUCUGCUACAAGUAAUUUUGAUGAUAGUUGUGUCAUUGGACGGGGUGCUUGUGGAACUGUGUACAAAGCCGUCCUGAAGCCUGGGCAGAUAAUUGCGGUAAAGAAGUUGGCUUCUAACAGGGAAGGAAGCAACACCGACAACAGCUUCCGUGCAGAGAUCAUGACUCUUGGAAAGAUAAGACAUCGUAACAUUGUGAAACUGUACGGUUUCAUCUAUCACCAGGGUGCAAACCUUCUGUUGUAUGAGUACAUGCCAAGAGGCAGCCUUGGAGAGCUACUUCACGGAGAAUCUUCUUCUUCACUCGAUUGGGAGACACGCUUCACAAUAGCCCUUGGAGCAGCUGAAGGGCUUUCAUACUUGCAUCAUGAUUGCAAGCCUCGGAUCAUCCACCGUGAUAUCAAGUCAAAUAACAUUUUACUUGAUGACAACUUUGAAGCUCAUGUUGGUGACUUUGGGUUGGCUAAGGUGAUUGACAUGCCAGUCUCAAAGUCUAUGUCUGCAAUUGCUGGUUCAUAUGGCUAUAUUGCACCAGAGUAUGCCUACACCAUGAAGGUGACCGAGAAAUCUGACAUAUACAGCUAUGGCGUCGUGCUGUUGGAGCUGCUAACCGGUCGUGCGCCUGUGCAACCGAUAGAGUUGGGAGGUGAUCUGGUAACAUGGGCCAAAAAUUACAUCAGGGACAAUUCUCUGGGUCCAGGGAUCUUCGACAGUAAUCUUGAUUUGGAAGAUAAAGCCGUCGUCGAUCAUAUGAUCGAGGUCUUGAAAAUUGCUCUGCUAUGUAGUAACCUGUCGCCGUACGAGAGACCGCCGAUGCGGCAUGUUGUAGUUAUGUUAAGCGAGUCGAAAGAUAGGGCUCGGGUGAGCUUGGCGUCGUCGCCUACUUCUGAUUGUUCUUCGAAGAAGGAUAGCUCAUGA